This 497-nucleotide ribosomal RNA is filed under the name uncultured bacterium. Its description in RNAcentral is "partial 16S ribosomal RNA". It matches the Rfam family "Bacterial small subunit ribosomal RNA", at positions 28 to 507 of the family's 1533-position model. The record is from RNAcentral.
GAUGAACGCUGGCGGCGUGCCUAAUACAUGCAAGUCGAGCGAACAGACGAGGAGCUUGCUCCUCUGACGUUAGCGGCGGACGGGUGAGUAACACGUGGAUAACCUACCUAUAAGACUGGGAUAACUUCGGGAAACCGGAGCUAAUACCGGAUAAUAUAUUGAACCGCAUGGUUCAAUAGUGAAAGACGGUUUUGCUGUCACUUAUCGAUGGAUCCGCGCCGCAUUAGCUAGUUGGUAAGGUAACGGCUUACCAAGGCAACGAUGCGUAGCCGACCUGAGAGGGUGAUCGGCCACACUGGAACUGAGCCACGGUCCAGACUCCUACGGGAGGCAGCAGUAGGGAAUCUUCCGCAAUGGGCGAAAGCCUGACGGAGCAACGCCGCGUGAGUGAUGAAGGUCUUCGGAUCGUAAAACUCUGUUAUUAGGGAAGAACAAAUGUGUAAGUAACUAUGCACGUCUUGACGGUACCUAAUCAGAAAGCCACGGCUAACUACGUG